UAAUCAGUUUGUAUACCUCCGUCGCAAGCUCACCAUAUGAAUGCUAAUUAGUGGGCAUAAGGGUUACCUCACCAAUACGUCAGGUCAAGGUGCAACCUACAAAGUGGGAAGAAUGGGCUACAAUUUCUAAACUAGAACACACGAAAACACAGAUGAAAAAUGAAAAAUGACAGAAGGCGGAUUUAGUAGUAAGGAGAAAAUAAAAUAUUCCCCUUAAUCCACAAUGAGACGUGCACACACCGCCCGUCGCCCUCUUCGAUUGUAGAGGUUAGAGCUGCCUCGACAUCUCGGCCUUCUGCUUAGAAGAGGUAAGUCGUAACAUGGUAAGCAUACUGGAAAGUGUGCUUGGUAACAAAAUAUAGCUUAACCAAAGCGAUUCGCUUACACCGAACUAAUAUCUAAUAAACCAGAUUAUUUUGAUAGCCACAAACUCAGCCCACACCCCCUUUCAACCCCCCCCACCACAAAAACAUUUCUACAAUUCAGUAAAGGCGAUUAAAAACUUAAUAAGAGCUGUAUAUUAAGUACCGCAAGGGAAAAGUGAAAUAGAAUUGAAAUAAACAAUAAAGCUAAUAAAAGCAGAGAUCCACACUCGUACCUUUUGCAUCAUGGUCUAGCCAGUCUCAACAAGCAAACUAUAAUAUACAGCUUGUACCCCCGAAACCUGAACGAGCUACUUUAAGACAGCCCAAGGGCCAACCCGUCUCUGUUGCAAAAGAGUGGGGAGAUUUUCAAGUAGCGGUGAUACACCAACCGAGCCAGGAGAUAGGUGGUUGUCAAGAAAAGAACUUUAGUUCUCCCUCAAAUUUACAGUACUAAUUAAUACAUCAAUUUGAGACCCACUCAAAUAAGGUACAGCCUGUUUGACACCGGAUACAACCAAAAACUUAGGGUAAUGUCAACCCAAUUUAAUCUAAGUGGGCCUAAAAGCAGCCACCUUUCAAAACGCGUUACAGCUUACUUAUCCCCACUUACAAUACCUUCCCCUCUACAAAUCCCCACUCUAGUAUUGAGCACUCUUAUAACAUAUAAAUGAUAUUAUGCUAGAACUAGUAACAAGAACUUGUUCUCCAGGGCGUAAGUAUACAUCAUAAAUAUUACCACCACUGUAGUAACCCUUCAAGAAAUCCCUACCACCCCACCAGACCUAAUAUUAAACUUACACAAGAACACCCCCGGAAAGACUAAAAUAAAAAGAAGGAACUCGGCAAACCUUAGUCUCGACUGUUUACCAAAAACAUUGCCUGUUGACCAACUAUAACAGGCCAAGCCUGCCCGCUGAAGUUUUAUUUAAAUGGCUGCGGUACCCUGACCGUGCAAAGGUAGCACAACCACUUGUUCUAUAAAUGAGGACUAGUAUGAAUGGCACCACGAAGACUACACUGUCUCCUUUCUACUGUCAGUGAAACUGAUCUCCCCGUGAAAAAGCGAGGAUUAUACUAUAAGACGAGAAGACCCCAUGAAGCUUCAAUUUAAGUACCAACUGCUACCCGUUAAACCACUUUGAAUUCGUGGCAGAUCUGGCUAUCAAAUUUUGGUUGGGGCAACCGCGUAGCAAAACAAAACCUCUGCGACACAAUAAUGACAGUGAACUUCCACUCAACUUAUGAACAACACUUCUAAAUAUCAAAACAUUGCCCCCCCCUGAUCCAAACCUUUGAUCGACGAACCAAGUUACUCUGGGGAUAACAGCGCAAUCUAUUUCAAGAGCCCCUAUCGACAAAUAGGUUUACGACCUCGAUGUUGGAUCAGGAUAUCCCAGUGGCGUAGACGCCACUAAUGGUUCGUUGUCAACGAUAAAA
This 1802-nucleotide unclassified non-coding RNA is filed under the name Arthroleptis sylvaticus (forest screeching frog). RNAcentral's name for it is "partial contains 12S ribosomal RNA, tRNA-Val, and 16S ribosomal RNA". It matches the Rfam family "Bacterial large subunit ribosomal RNA", at positions 37 to 2592 of the family's 2925-position model. Lineage: Eukaryota; Metazoa; Chordata; Amphibia; Anura; Arthroleptidae. The record is from RNAcentral.